This is a long non-coding RNA of Pan paniscus (pygmy chimpanzee), 503 nucleotides long. Lineage: Eukaryota; Metazoa; Chordata; Mammalia; Primates; Hominidae. The record is from Ensembl.
CUGUUUUUCUGGACAAACUUAAAAAUGCUGAAUCUUUGUAGUCAUUUAAGAAAUAAUUAAUGCCAUAUCUCAAGGUACGCAAAGCUCAGAAGCGGUCUGGGUGAGCAUGGGUGUAGGAGACUGCUUGGCCCUGUUGUGGGCACCCUUGCCAUUGUCCUUAGCCCAUCAGAGACAGGCACUCCUAUUUCGUGUCAGAGGUUCUGCUUCAUUAGUGAUCACAAAGCAAAUGAUGAUGACACAAUCAGAAGUGUCAGAUGACAGGCACUUAUGCAGCCACCCUUCCACGAAUGAUUCCCUAUUUUCUUCUUGUUGUCUGAUCUCCUACUGGAUGAAGUCUAUAACUUCCUGGCUCCUCAUACAUCCCAAAUACCAUCACAGAAAUCAAAAGAACUUAUAUGAGUUUGUUUGACCCUGGGCUUUCUCUCAGGCAACAAGGAGGAGCCUAUGAGCCUGUGGCCUGUAACAAAACAAGGCAAGACAGCUUAAAAAGUAAGCAUUUUCAC